Molecule: long non-coding RNA, 7487 nt
Filed under: Gossypium barbadense (sea-island cotton)
Lineage: Eukaryota; Viridiplantae; Streptophyta; Magnoliopsida; Malvales; Malvaceae
Description: long non-coding RNA (GBAR_LNC011065)
Source: RNAcentral
UAUCUAAGAUCUCUAAGAUUAUAAAAUCAUAUCUUUCAAGAUCAUGUUUCCAUAUUUGUCUAACUUGUAGAUGGGCCUUCAAUCUCUUCAAGCAAUGGGUCAGUCCGAUUGGGCCAAAUGACCUCCUUCCUUCUUGAUGGAUCGCACAGAUGUGUCAUGAUUGCGGGCUCCCAUGCGCAACCCAUGACAUUCUCCCCCACCGAAUCUAGCAACGCCCUCGUCGCGUCCUCCGCAUGGUAUCGAUCUAUCUUGUCUUGGAAUUGCCACAAGGCUUCAGCAGGUUCCCAACUCAUCUCACUAUCCGGGAAUCCCUUUCAUAAGACCAAGUAUUCACGCCGCGAUUGGUAUUACUUACGUCUGACUACACGAUUAGCUUCAAUGUUCUCGACCUCUCGAUCAUAGGUGACUUUUACCCCCAUUGGUGCUCGUUCAGACUUGCUCCAAUUUGGGGCUUCUCUAGCUUCAUGGAAUGGCUUAAGUAUACUCACAUGAAAUACUGGAAUGGCCCCUCAUACCACCGAACGAGUCCUUUGUGUAACCCAUCAUAUCUCAAAAUUAGGUGUAGUUUGGCAAGAACUAGGUCACCAACCUGAAACUGCACAUCCCUUCAAUUUCGAUCCGCCCACUUCUUGUUGCGCUUACUUGAAUUAUAUAGACAAACUCUAACUAGAUCGUUUUGCUCUUGCCAAUCCCUCGCAAAUCGAUAAGCUGCUGGAUUCGAUCCCGCAUAACGAGUUGCAACCACAUUAGGUGUAAGCGACUAUUGCCCCGUCACUAUCUCAAACGGACUCUGGUUUGUUGCCCCACUUCGUUGUAAGUUGUACAAAAACUGGGCCACGUCUAACAACUUUGGCCAAUCCUUUUGUGUCGCACUUACAUAAUGCCGAAGAUACGUCUCCAGCAAUGCAUUCACUCGUUCAGUUUGCCCAUCAGUUUGGGGAUGCAUGCUAGUGGAAAAGUUUAAGUCUGAACCCAUUAACUUGAACAACUCUGUCCAAAAUCGACCCGUAAAUUGCCUAUCUCGAUCACUGAUGAUAGACUGUGGUACUCCCCAAUACUUCACCACAUGCUUAAGGAAUAAGCGAGCUGCCUCCUCAGCGGGACACUCCUUGGUUGCGGGGAUAGAAGUUGCAUACUUCGAAAACCUGUCCACCACAACAAAAAUACUUGCAAAUCCAUCAAAUUUAGGCAAGCCUGUGAUAAAGUCCAUGGACAAGCAUUCCCAUGGGCGCUCCAAAAUGGGCAACGAUUGUAACAAACCAGCAGGGGCUUUCAACUCAACCUUAUUUUGUUGGUAUAUUAAACAAGUUUGAACAUGAGCCUCCACAUCAUCACCCAUGUGAGGCCAAUAAAAUCAAUCCUCCAAUAGAGCCAAGGUACGAUGUAUUCCUGGUUGACCAGCCCAUUUUGAAUCAUGACAUUCCUUCAUGAUUUCCCUUCGUAAAUUCCCAUGUAGAGGCACAUAUAAACAUUGCCCAUGAGUGUAUAGCAAUUCUCUCUCGAACCAAAAUCGCCUCGUCUUUCCAUCUCUAGCAAGCUCCAUCAGAUUUUUGACCGUGGGAUUAUGGGACAGUCCUUGAAUGCACUCUAAUAAGGGACUCAGGUUGGCUUAUCGUUGCAAAUUCCAUUUUUCGGCUAAGUGCAUCGGCCACAAUGUUGGCACUCCCCGACUUGUAUUCAAUGCUAAAAUCAAACUUUGCUAGGAAAACCUGCCAACGAGCCUGCCUGGGGGACAACUUUUUCUGGGUUAAGAAAUAACUAUUUGCAAUAUUAUCAGUGAAUACUACAAACCUGGAACCCAGCAAAUAGUGUCUCCAUGUGCGCAAACAAUGCACCACUGCCGUUAUCUCUUUUUCUUGAAUCGUGUAUCUCUGUUUCGUCUCAUUAAGCUUUCGACUCUCGAAAGCAAUCAGAUGCCCAUCUUGCAUCAACACCCCUCCAAUUGUAUACUCUGAAGCAUCUGUACGUACCUCAUACGCCUUUGAAAAAUUUGGCAAUGCGAGUACAGGUUCGCUUGUCAUCGCUUGCUUCACUUGGUUGAAGGCUUUCUCACACUGAAGGUCCCAAUCCCACACUUUACCCUUUUUCAACAGGUCCGUCAAGGGUGUAGUGAUCUUGGGAUAGCCUUCAAUGAAGCAACGGUAGUAAUUUGCUAAUCCAAAGAAAGACUGCAACUCCGACACCUUGGUUGGUGAUUCCCAAUCGACAAUUGCCCGAACUUUCAUCCAUUCGAAUCGUGCCACCUCCCACAAUAUGGCCUAGAAAUGGCACUUCUCGUUAAGCAAAUGAGCAUUUCUCCUUUUUGACAUAUAGCUUAUUUUCUCGUAGAGUUUGGAACACCUCCCCCAAGUGUCCCACAUGCUCUUCGAACGUCUUACUAUACACCACAAUAUUGUCCAGAUAAACAACCACAAAACGAUCCAAGAAAGGUUGUAAUACCUUAUUAUUAGGGUACAAAAUGUAGUCGGAGCAUUUGUCAACCCGAAUGGAAUCACCAAGAACUCAAAGGUUGUCUUGGGCUCAUCCCCUUUGGCUAUUCUCACUUGGUGGUACCCCGAUCGGAAAUCCAACUUAGUAAACCAUCUCGCGCUACCAAGCUGAUUGAACAAAUCUGCAAUAAGAGGAAUGUGAUACCUAUUUUUUAUAGUGAUUAUGUUUAAGGCCCUGUAGUCGAUGCACAUUCUCAAAGAUCCAUCAUGCUUCUUUUGAAAUAACACAGGUGCACCGAACGGAGCUUUAGAUGGUUCAGAAUUGGGCAACAGCUCAAUCUUGUGGUCUACCUCCCUCUUAGGUCGCAAUCUUUUGGGCAACUCCAUGGGCAUUACAUAUUGAAAUGACUUUAGCAUCCGUUCCACUUCCUUUGGAAUUUCCCCCUCAAAUUUAUCAUCCAUAUUGUCUCUCAAGGUAGCUAGGUAGGAGACUUCAUCUCGACGGACUCCUUUGGCAAAUUGAAUUGCCGACAAGGUUUUUCCCUCCAUGCUUCUCUUCCUUUCCAUUCUCACCAUAUAUCGUUGAUUUGCAUCGGAGAUUGUCAUGUAAUUCUCGGAAGGGUGAAUAUCCACAUUAAGCCUAUCAAGUAAACUUAAUCCAACUACAAAAUUGUAAUCAUCAAGUGGGAUUACCUUAAUGGUCGUUUUGCCCGUCCAUUCGCCAAGUUUGAGUUCCACCCCUUUUGCCACACCCGUUAUGGGAAUGCUUUCUAAAUUCACCGUUUUGAUUCGUCCCGAAUCUUCCUCGAUUCUAAGGCUAAGUUCCUUUGCCAUUUCUUUAGACAUGAAUAAAUCAGACGCACCAGUAUCAACAAGUGCAUUGAAUCUUCUGCCAGCUACGAUAAUGUCCACAAACAUCAACCCAUUGCUUGACUUCUCUUCGACACCUCGUAAUAUCGAAUUGAGGUUUUUGGUGUCAUCUUCGACUUCCUCGCGUGCCUCCAUGGCAUGAAAAGCGGCUUUCUUUGGACAGACACUCAUUCUAUGUGGGCCUUAGCAAAAAAAGCACUUCAUUGGUCAUUUUCAUUGGUCAUUGGUCAGCCUAACUUCCACAAAAGAUGGAUUCGACAGAAUUCUUCCCAAAACAUAACUCAAGCGAAAACAACUCAAAGCCAACAAGAUGAAAGAAUAAUGAGACAAGAUCAGGCCAAUGAAAAUAAAAACACAAGAGAGAAAAAAGUUUGAGUGAAUGCUCUCAAGAAUUCUUAUUGCUCAAAACUCAAGUACUUUACAAUGAGAGAAGAGACCUCUAUUUAUAGUUGAGCCUCUCCAAAUCCAACGGUACAAAAUCAAAUAUAUCAACGGCUAUGAUUAAAAGGUAUCUACAAUUAAAUCCCUAAGAAUAUAAAAUCAUAUCUUUUAAGAUUACCUAUCUUAUCUAAGAUAUGUAAUCUUAUAAAAUAAUAUAUUAUAAGAUUACAUAUCAUAUCUAAGGUCUCUAAGAUUAUAAAAUCAUAUCUUCCAAAAUCAUGUUUCCAUAUUUGUCUAACUUGUAGAUAGUCCUUCAAUCUCUUCAAGCGACGGGUCAAUCCGAUUGGGCCAAAUAACCUCCUUCCUGAUGGAUCGCAUAGAUGUGUCAUGGUUGUGGGCUCCCUUGCGCAACCCAUGACAUUGGGAGCAAAAGGCAAUGAUUAAUUGGCUGAAAUACGAAGAUAAGAUUACAAAUUUCAUUCAUAAAUUGAAAACUGAAGAUGGACGAGAAAUGGAAGAAUUGAAGGAAAUGGAGGUGGUUGCGCCGGUUGUAGUUUCAAAAAUUGUUUUCGAAAGGAACGAGAGGGAACUUUGACCAUUUGUUAUCAGGGAUCAAUAGAUGCAUAACUGAUGAAGAUAAUCAUAGACUCACGGCGCCCUAUACUAGGGAGGAAAUUUGAGAAGCACUUUUUGAAAUGGGACCUACAAAGGCACCUGGGGAUUAUGGCUUUCCGGCAAUAUUCUACCAAAAAUGCUGGCACAUUAUUGGCGAAGACAUGAUUUUCUUUUGUUUAACCCGUUUGAAUGGAGACAUGAAGGUUAAUUCUAUAAAUUCCACAAAUAUAGUGCUUAUUCCAAAAAGUGCUAGUCCUUCAAAUAUGACACUUUAGACCGAUUAGUCUACGUAAUUUGGUAUACAAAGUAUUGGCAAAGAACAUGGCGAACAGAUUACGAGUAAUUGAAAAAUGUUUUGAUUGCGCACAGAGUGCUUUUGUACUGGGAAGACUAUUAUCAGAUAAUGUGUUAUUAGCCUAUGAGAUACUACACGCGCUCAAGCAAAAGAGAUUUGGAAAAAAAAGGGUUUAUGACAGUUAAACUCGAUAUGAGCAAGGCAUACGAUAGAGUGGAGUGGGAUUUUUUUAAGGAAGUGAUGUUUAGAAUGGGAUUCAACAAAAAAUGGACUGAUGCAAUCAUAAAAUGUAUAUCUACGGUCUUUUAUUCUGUGGUUAUUAAUAGCCAUAUCAAAGAGAAAUUUAGACUUAUUAGAGGACUUCGACAAGGUGACCUGUUAAGCCCAUUUUUGUUUCUUAUUUGUGGAGAGGGUUUAUCAAGCCUAAUUAGACUAGCUUUGAAUGAGGGAUUUUUCAAAGGAGUCAAGAUUAGCAAGAGAGGUCCACAGGUAACUCAUCUCUUAUUUGCGAAUGAUACAUAUUAUUUGGGUAAGCAACAAGCAGGGGGGCUAAUUUAUUCAAAGAAAUUUUAUGCGAAUAUAGAUCUUGUUCAGGCCAAAGGGUAAAUUUUGAAAAAUCAACAGUAUUUUUUAGUAGAAACACAGAGGAAGAGGACAGAAGAAUGGACCUUAGCGUUAAUUAGGGCUGCCGAAUAUGGUUGGAAGGAAAAAGGAGUCUUUCCAGAAUCUGAAGGACAAAAUUAAAAAACGCAUAGACAAUUGGAGCAACAGAUCCUUAUCGCAGGGAGAAAAAGAAGUAUUUAUAAAGGACAUAUUACAAGUCAUACAUACUUAUUCGAUGGCCUGCUUUCUAUUACCAAAAACUUUAUGUGAUGAAUUCGAAAAUAUUAUAGCGAAUUUUUGGUGGCAGAAACAUAAAGGGAAAAGGGGAAUUCACUGGUGUGCUUGGAAAAAUCUGUGUUAAAAGAAAAUGGGGGUUUAGGGUUUCAAAAUCUGGGUCAAUUCAAUAUUGCAUUAUUAGCCAAACAGGGUUAGCGUCUCAUUAAUUUUCCAAAUUCAUUAUUGGCUAGAGUUAUAAAAGCAAAGUAUUACCCGCAGACAAGUUUCUUAAAUGCUAAGGUGGGAAAUUUACCUUCACUCACCUGGAGAAGCAUAUGGGCAGCUAAGGGUCUUCUUCAAAAUGGACUUUGUUGGAGAGUGGGUAGAGGGGAUAAGGUUUCUAUUUGGAAUGACAGUUGAAUCCCAGGAAUUGCGAAACCUGAACGGCAGAACAGUUCUAAUAAUGAAUUAGUUAUGGUGUCGGAUCUUAUUGACUCCUCAAACAGAAAAUGGAGAACAUAUACGAUCAUGAAUACCUUUCAAGCAGAUGUUGCUCAAAAAAUCCUACAGAUUCCGCUUGCAGAGACAGAACAUGAGGAUUUUCAGGUGUGGAAAGGAGAACAAUCCGGCGAAUACUCAGUACGUAGUGCCUAUAAACUAUUACAAGAAGCUACUAUGGAUCCUAGGAAUCAUUUAAUACAUGCCGAAAUUAAAAAAUUUUACAGAAAGCUUUGGAAUUUACAACUACCCGCAAAAAUCACGAUCAUUAUUUGGAGAAUUUCAUGGGAUUUUAUCCCCCAUCUCGCUAAUCUCAGGUACAGAAGACUCAUUUCAAAUGACAGAUGUCUCCGCUGCCACUCCGGAGUUGAAAACAGUUAGCAUAUAUUUCGUCAAUGCACUGUAACAACGGAUGUUUGGUCACAUCUACAGCUUUCCUGGGUCAUUAAUGAUAUGGCUCAAAACACUUGGGAAUGGCUAACCUGGGUGUUCGCAAAUGGAUCUAACAAACAGUGUCGUCUAUUUUGUUUCACUCUGUGGCUGCUAUGGUCCUUUAGGAAUCAACUAGUUAACGAUCGGAAACUCUUAACAGGAUUAGAUCUCGCAAAAAGAGUGAAGAAACAAAUUGAAGAAUAUGAAGGUGUGCAAGCAGUAAAAGCUCCACCAAACGUUAACAGGAACCAGUGGAAUCAAGAAGACAUAACAGUACAAGCUCCAUCAUACACUAAUAGGACAUAGAGGGAUCAAGAAGACAUACCGAGAUUAUAGAUCCAGUUCGAUGCAGCAUUCGACAAUACAAGUUUUCAGUCAGCGUCGGGUCUGGUGGCUCCGAGCUCGAGGGGAGAACUACUGGUAUCCAAAUCGACUCUUCACAACAAUGUGUCGACACCAUUUGCAGCAGAGGCAUUCGCAUGCCUUGAAGCUUUAAAUCUUGGCAUCUCGAUGGGCAUGCAGUGGGUCAACAUUAUGGGGGACUCCAAAACAACAAUAAAAAAGUUUCAAACAACAACAGCAAACAAAUCCGUCAUUGGAGCAAUCAUCAAAGAUAUCCAGAAUAGGAAAAGAUACUUUCAUGAGAUCCAUUUCCAGCAUAUUCAUAGAUCAGAGAACUCAACAGCCCACAGACUUGCAAAGACUACGCUAGAGAAAAGAGAAACUGUGUACCUGAGGGGAGAAGAUUGGAGAGACUAAGAGAAUGCCUCGGAGGGACGAUGGAGACAAUGGCCCGAUUGAAUAAACUCUGGUGAAGAAAGUAAGUUCAAAAUAGAUAGCAAUUGAUUUCUUAUCUUUCUUGGGAAGUGCUAUCGGCAGAAACGGAUGGGAUGUGAUAAAGGAACGUUGAAUAGUAAUGGGUGCCAGCCGUUCUUCGAUUUGACUGGGUUAGGUUUCUUGUUUUUCAAAUUGCAGAUUCAUUUACUGUCUUUACUUUUCAAGUUAGCUUUUCUUUUAUUAAAUAUUUAGGAGGCCUAUUAGUAUAGACUACAUUGAGGCCGGUUUUAUUUUGAGUUUUGCUGUAAGUUGGUCUGAGCCCAGUUUGUUAUUGGUUUUUUUACUUUUUUAUGAUUACUAAUAAAGUACCC